This 413-nucleotide long non-coding RNA is filed under the name Vigna radiata. RNAcentral describes it as "long non-coding RNA (VRAD_LNC017150)". The record is from RNAcentral. Lineage: Eukaryota; Viridiplantae; Streptophyta; Magnoliopsida; Fabales; Fabaceae.
CAAAGGACUCUUAGGUCUUAACUUUCAUAUAAACCAAUCGCAUAAGACUUGAGAAAAGAAUUAAUUUUAGGUUUUGAAUGCAAAGAACAAAAGUAAACAUGCAAAAUGCAUUGAAUCAAUUGGCUAGAAAAGACUAUGGAUGAAUGGAGUUGUUGAGGUUUACAAUUUCAUCUUAUCCACCCUCUUAUAUCUACUCUUCUUAUCUUCUUAGCUUAUUUAACAUAUUGUCAUGCAAACUUUCUUAGUCUACCCUAAACCCAAUCUCUUGGCGAAAAGAGCCAAUUACCAAUUACUGGCUUGCUAUCUCUAGCGUCCCCUAGUAACCAAGAAUGCAUGAUAAAUAGAAGUAAAAUACAAUUGAUCGUCCUACCCCUAUCUCUAGGCGGUAUUAGCAUAAUCAAGGAAUUCCCCCC